UAGACUGCACCUAACGCUACAGAGUUCAUAAAAAUAACCAAGCUAGCUAAUAGCUUAUUGCUGAGUAACGAGGUUUGAUAAUUGGGAGAUAACAUAGACUAAAAUUAAAACGAAUUUAAAGGAAAAAAAUCGCUGCUGGAGGGUGAAGGGUGGCAGUACUGAGUCGACUAGCUGCUUUAAACCCACAAGGAAGAACCACUCUCUGCGCAUGCGCGUAUGUGAAAGAUGACUGUGGUGUAGUUCCUUCUUUUAUUUUACAGCAUGGCUUUGGUUCCUUAUGUAGAAAAUCCCUUACCAGCGCUUUCCAAAUUGAACAAUUCAUCCGCGCAGUUUCGGUUUGCAAACCACGACCUGAGUCUUGCCCAAGACUGGAAAAACCUCGGGGUGGCAGCAGUUGUGUGGGAUGCGGCGGUUGUCAUGUGUAUGUACCUGGAGCUGGGGAAGGUGGAGUUAAAGGGGAAGGAGGUGAUUGAGCUGGGAGCCGGGACUGGACUGGUGGGCAUUGUAGCAGCCUUGAUGGGUGCCAAAGUGACCAUCACUGACAGAGAACCUGCUCUGGAUUUUCUGUCAGCAAACGUGAAGGCCAACCUGCCCCCAGAAUCCCAGGAGUCAGUGUUUGUGUCAGAGCUGUCAUGGGGUGAGGGCCUUGAGCGCUACCCAGCUGGGGGGUUCGAUCUCGUUCUGGGAGCGGACAUCAUUUACCUGGAGGACACCUUUGUGCCGCUGCUGCACACUCUGGAGCACUUGUGCUCGGACACUACGGUGGUUUUGCUCGCCUGCAAGAUCCGUUACAAGCGUGACACGAACUUUCUGAGCAUGCUGAAACAGCAGUUCGCAGUUGAAGAGGUCUACUUUGACAGACAAAGGGACAUUCAUGUAUAUAAAGCCUGGAAACUGACAGCAAGGAGGGAUCUGUGAACACACAUAAGCAACCGUUGUCUACCUUCAUUUUGUAUUUUAUUCUCCACCUUGUACAACCACUUGGUUGCUUGGAACGAGGAUCUGCUGCCCAUCACUGGUCUGGGCGUACUGCAGGAUCGUUGCACCAGACUGGGCUCCAGCAGCGUUGGCCAUGGUCAGAGUCUGCAGGCCCUGCACUCCAUCUGUGCCGUUAUUGGCCAGCUGAAUGGCUCCUCCCUGAGUAAUGGCAACUGCAGAGGGAUUGUAUGGGAGUGGGCAUGGUGACUGUGGUGAUGGCAGGAGCUGAGUCGUCCUCCGACUUCUCUUCCUCAAUUCGAGGCACCGCUGGAACGUCUGACGAUAAGUCGUUUAAAAUCUUU
Labrus mixtus (cuckoo wrasse) is the source of this 1280-nucleotide RNA transcript. It is a transcript of the gene named methyltransferase 21A, HSPA lysine, with no coding region annotated. NCBI's taxonomy places the organism in Eukaryota, Metazoa, Chordata, Actinopteri, Labriformes, Labridae. The transcript is spliced from 5 exons. The record is from RefSeq and is a predicted model, not a curated record.